This 660-nucleotide ribosomal RNA is filed under the name uncultured Lachnospiraceae bacterium. RNAcentral's name for it is "bacterial SSU rRNA". It matches the Rfam family "Bacterial small subunit ribosomal RNA", at positions 63 to 727 of the family's 1533-position model. The record is from RNAcentral. Lineage: Bacteria; Bacillati; Bacillota; Clostridia; Lachnospirales; Lachnospiraceae.
CGAAGCGCUUUAACGGAAUUCUUCGGAAGGAAGAUAAAGUGACUGAGCGGCGGACGGGUGAGUAACGCGUGGGUAACCUGCCUCAUACAGGGGGAUAACAGUUAGAAAUGGCUGCUAAUACCGCAUAAGCGCACAGGACCGCAUGGUCUGGUGCGAAAAACUCCGGUGGUAUGAGAUGGACCCGCGUUGGAUUAGGUUGUUGGUGGGGUAACGGCCUACCAAGCCGACGAUCCAUAGCCGGCCUGAGAGGGUGAACGGCCACAUUGGGACUGAGACACGGCCCAGACUCCUACGGGAGGCAGCAGUAGGGAAUAUUGCACAAUGGGGGAAACCCUGAUGCAGCGACGCCGCGUGAAGGAAGAAGUAUCUCGGUAUGUAAACUUCUAUCAGCAGGGAAGACAAUGACGGUACCUGACUAAGAAGCCCCGGCUAACUACGUGCCAGCAGCCGCGGUAAUACGUAGGGGGCAAGCGUUAUCCGGAUUUACUGGGUGUAAAGGGAGCGUAGACGGACGGGCAAGUCUGAAGUGAAAGGCAGGGGCUCAACUCCUGGACUGCUUUGGAAACUGUCCAUCUAGAGUGCCGGAGAGGUAAGCGGAAUUCCUAGUGUAGCGGUGAAAUGCGUAGAUAUUAGGAGGAACACCAGUGGCGAAGGCGGCUU